Molecule: transfer RNA, 633 nt
Filed under: uncultured Prochlorococcus sp.
Lineage: Bacteria; Bacillati; Cyanobacteriota; Cyanophyceae; Synechococcales; Prochlorococcaceae
Description: partial 16S-23S ribosomal RNA intergenic spacer
Rfam family: tRNA (bases 251-323)
Source: RNAcentral
CAGGGAGACAAUAAAUUGAUUGUGAUGUCUAAGUUAUUUAUUCUUAGGCCGCAAUCCUGUCACCUUAAGGUCGAUCGGUACCUCAGAUUUUUGAAUUAGUUUUAUAAUUGAUUCUUUGAUUUCAGUUCCUAAACUUGUCUAGGUCACACCCAACAAAGUUUUCUCCUGGGCCAUUAGCUCAGGUGGUUAGAGCGCACCCCUGAUAAGGGUGAGGUCCCUGGUUCAAGUCCAGGAUGGCCCAUUCGUUGUUGGGGGUAUAGCUCAGUUGGUAGAGCGCCUGCUUUGCAAGCAGGAUGUCAGCGGUUCGAGUCCGCUUACCUCCACUGAAAACUAUCCUGAUAACUAAAUUUCUGGAGAAAAAAAUUGUAGAUGUGGCUUAGAAUUGUCUAUUUGAAAAGAACCUAGCUUCUUGUCAUCUUUUUAUAGUUGAUAAAAUGCUGGGCUCGAAUGGAUUAUUUCCAUGAGAAUUCAGUAGAACCUUGAAAACUGCAUAGAUUAGAAAGAAUAAAGCAUCUCAUGGAUGCAUAGUUCUGUUUUUAUAAUUUAGCCUUAAAACUAAAUUAUUUAAUUCUAGAAUUCAUGUUUAAUUCUUGAGUAAUAGCCGAGCACAAUUGAUUUUGUGAUUGUAUUUAA